This 254-nucleotide ribosomal RNA is filed under the name uncultured bacterium. RNAcentral's name for it is "partial 16S ribosomal RNA". It matches the Rfam family "Bacterial small subunit ribosomal RNA", at positions 524 to 776 of the family's 1533-position model. The record is from RNAcentral.
UACAGAGGUCCCGAGCGUUGUUCGGAUUCACUGGGCGUAAAGAGCUCGUAGGCGGUUUGGCAAGUCGGGUGUGAAAACUCCGGGCUCAACUCGGAGACGCCACUCGAUACUGCCAUGACUCGAGUCCGGUAGGGGAGUGCGGAAUUCCUGGUGUAGCGGUGAAAUGCGCAGAUAUCGGGAGGAACACCAGUGGCGAAGGCGGCUUCCUGGACCUGAUCUGACACUGAGGAGCGAAAGCGUGGGGAGCGAUCCGG